UUAUUUGAUGUUCUGUUUUAGAAAGAGGAACAGUAUCUGAAAACACUGACCAUUUUGUUGUGUACAUCUACCCCUCUGUAAACUUCUGGCACUUCUGACUCUAUGGUUUGGAGGUAGAUUUACCGGCAGUAGAGCAGAUGUAAUCACUGUGAAGACAGACUGAGGGCAGAAGAAAUUAAACCAAUUGGGUGAAUUAGCUCAGCAAGUGACAGCUCACAGGAGAAUCUUUAUCUACUCCUUCCACUGACUGUAUGCACAUAAUUGCAGGUCUUGCUACUCUUGCUAGUAGCAGGAAGCUAGUGCUGCAAAGAAGCUAUGCUGGAGCUUGGGUGAUAUCCCAUUUCACAGAGCUUCUUUAAGACUUCUGAGAAAGCUUCAUAAAAUGCAAAAACAGUAAUAAGGGCAAACUUCUUGACUGUCAUUCAUUGUGAGAGGUGUCCCUCAUUUUGGAGCUAAUUUUACCUCUGGACCACAUCGACUUGAAGAUGGCUUACUGUGGCUACUGUGAAUUAUUUAUGGGUGGAAAAAAUGUAUUAUGGAGCAGAGAAAAUAUAACUAUUGUUGUUGGGCAAAAAAAUUAUUAGAAAUAUUUUCUCUUCUAAUUAGGUUGUUUUGUCUUUAAGCAUCAGUUGCUUAAAAAACUGAAAGCAUUAUAAAUGGUGGUGGAUCUGAAG
This 674-nucleotide long non-coding RNA is filed under the name Coturnix japonica (Japanese quail). RNAcentral describes it as "lncRNA (ENSCJPG00005008738.1)". Lineage: Eukaryota; Metazoa; Chordata; Aves; Galliformes; Phasianidae. The record is from RNAcentral.